UACGAAGGCCCCAAGCGUUAUCCGGAAUUACUGGGCGUAAAGCGUCUGUAGGUGGUUUUUUAAGUCUUUCCGUGAAACUUCGGGGCUCAACCCUGAAUUGCGGGGGAAACUGAAAAACUAGAGUGUGGGAGGGGUUAGCAGAACGGUAAGAGUAGGGGUGCAAUCCGUUGAUACUUACCAGAAUACCAAAAGCGAAGGCAGCUAACUGGAACACUACUGACACUGAGAGACGAAAGCGUGGGGAGCAAAAGGG
This 253-nucleotide ribosomal RNA is filed under the name uncultured bacterium. Its description in RNAcentral is "partial 16S ribosomal RNA". It matches the Rfam family "Bacterial small subunit ribosomal RNA", at positions 524 to 776 of the family's 1533-position model. The record is from RNAcentral.